Vigna angularis (adzuki bean) is the source of this 966-nucleotide long non-coding RNA. RefSeq lists it as uncharacterized. The record is from RefSeq and is a predicted model, not a curated record. The transcript is spliced from 2 exons. Lineage: Eukaryota; Viridiplantae; Streptophyta; Magnoliopsida; Fabales; Fabaceae.
UUUACAUAUUCAACUCAGUACUUUCUCUUCUCUGCUAUACUUCUCCCUCUUCGGUACCCUCCAUUCUCCUCCAUCUCUUUCGUUCUCCUCCAUUCUCCUCGAUCUCCUUCGUUCUCCUCCUUUCUCCUCUAUUCUUCCUCCUUCGUUCUCCUCCACUCUCCUUCAUUCUGAUUGUCAUUGUUCUUGUUCGAUCGUCAAGGUGGUUGGGUGAAGGUGUUGUUCGGCGUUUGAAGUUGUUCGGCAUUUGAAAUUGUUCAGCGCUUCAAAUUGUUCAGCGUUUGAAGUUGUUCGGCGUUUGAAGUUGUUCGUUGUGGUUGAAGUUCUCGGCUGUGGUAGGAGAAACCCUUGUUGUGGUGUGUUAUCAUCUCGUUGUCUGUCGCGGGUGAGCUGCUCCUCUCCCAUUUCCUCCAUUCGUCGAUUGAACCAUAACGUCAAGUAGAGUGGAAGAGAAAGAAAGGUUUUCUUUGUGGUGCUAAUUUCUUGAUGGUUUAUUGUCCCGCUUGUUUUUUCUUUUUUUUUUUUAUAGGGAACAACAGCGAAAACAGAGAGGGGUGGAACAAGGGAUUUUUGUGGGCAUCAAUUACUUGCCCUUUGCUGUCUGCUUCAAAUAAUUUUGGAGAAUGGUUUCUUUUCGAUGCUCUUAUAAGGGUUGGGGAAGGAGUAUAGCUGGCCAAACUGUCAAUAAUGAUGUUGAAUUUCACUGACUUUAAAUCUAAUGUUUUUAUUAUUAUUCACCUCUUAGUUUUUAUUUUUUUCCCUUCAUCCCAUGAAUUGACAUUAGAUCCUUACUUUUUCUUUUAUAAUAAAAGAAAGAAAAUGUAUAAUCCAGCAUAGAAGAUUCCACGCUUGCUUCAGAAAUUGGUCAGUAUUUGUCUUAGUUUUGAUGUGGAUGUGCAGUUUUUCCUUUCUAUGUACAAACAAAUGUGAUUUUGUGGAGGUUAACUUGGUGUAAAAUGUUGAUUAUUA